RNAcentral lists this ribosomal RNA (253 nucleotides) under uncultured bacterium. Its description in RNAcentral is "partial 16S ribosomal RNA". It matches the Rfam family "Bacterial small subunit ribosomal RNA", at positions 524 to 776 of the family's 1533-position model. The record is from RNAcentral.
UACGUAGGGCGCGAGCGUUGUCCGGAAUCAUUGGGCGUAAAGAGCUCGUAGGCGGCCUGUCGCGUCUGCUGUGAAAUCCCGGGGCUCAACCCCGGGCGUGCAGUGGAUACGGGCUGGCUGGAGGCAGGCAGGGGAGAACGGAAUUCCCGGUGUAGCGGUGAAACGCGCAGAUAUCGGGAGGAACACCGGUGGCGAAGGCGGUUCUCUGGGCCUGUACUGACGCUGAGGAGCGAAAGCGUGGGGAGCGAACAGG